CAGAGGGUGGCAAGCGUUGUUCGGAAUCAUUGGGCGUAAAGCGCACGUAGGCGGCUUUGCAAGUCGGGUGUGAAAGCCUGGGGCUCAACCCCAGAAGUGCAUUCGAACUGCAGAGCUUGAGUCUUGGAGAGGGUGGUGGAAUUCCGAGUGUAGAGGUGAAAUUCGUAGAUAUUCGGAGGAACACCAGUGGCGAAGGCGACCACCUGGACAAAGACUGACGCUGAGGUGCGAAAGCGUGGGGAGCAAACAGGGAUUAGAUACCCUGGUAGUCCACGCCGUAAACGAUGAGUACUAGAUGUUGCAGGUAUUGACCCCUGCAGUGUCGUCGCUAACGCAUUAAGUACUCCGCCUGGGAAGUACGGCCGCAAGGCU
RNAcentral lists this ribosomal RNA (372 nucleotides) under uncultured organism. Its description in RNAcentral is "bacterial SSU rRNA". It matches the Rfam family "Bacterial small subunit ribosomal RNA", at positions 525 to 895 of the family's 1533-position model. The record is from RNAcentral.